Molecule: ribosomal RNA, 253 nt
Filed under: uncultured bacterium
Lineage: Bacteria
Description: partial 16S ribosomal RNA
Rfam family: Bacterial small subunit ribosomal RNA
Source: RNAcentral
UACGUAGGGGGCAAGCGUUGUCCGGAUUUAUUGGGCGUAAAGAGCGUGUAGGCGGCUUUGCAAGUCCGUUGUGAAAACUCGAGGCUCAACCUCGAGACGCCGGUGGAAACUGCAAAGCUAGAGUCCGGAAGAGGAGAGUGGAAUUCCUAGUGUAGAGGUGAAAUUCGUAGAUAUUAGGAAGAACACCAGUGGCGAAGGCGGCUCACUGGCCCGGUACUGACGCUGAGGCGCGAAAGCGUGGGGAGCGAACAGG